UAGGGAAUCUUCGGCAAUGGACGGAAGUCUGACCGAGCAACGCCGCGUGAGUGAAGAAGGUUUUCGGAUCGUAAAGCUCUGUUGUAAGAGAAGAACGAGUGUGAGAGUGGAAAGUUCACACUGUGACGGUAUCUUACCAGAAGGGGACGGCUAACUACGUGCCAGCAGCCGCGGUAAUACGUAGGUCCCGAGCGUUGUCCGGAUUUAUUGGGCGUAAAGCGAGCGCAGGCGGUUAGAUAAGUCUGAAGUUAAAGGCUGUGGCUUAACCAUAGUAGGCUUUGGAAACUGUUUAACUUGAGUGCAAGAGGGGAGAGUGGAAUUCCAUGUGUAGCGGUGAAAUGCGUAGAUAUAUGGAGGAACACCGGUGGCGAAAGCGGCUCUCUGGCUUGUAACUGACGCUGAGGCUCGAAAGCGUGGGGAGCAAACAGGAUUAGAUACCCUGGUAGUCCACGCUGUAAACGAUGAGUGCUAGGUGUUAGACCCUUUCCGGGGUUUAGUGCCGUAGCUAACGCAUUAAGCACUCCGCCUGGGGAGUACGACCGCAAGGUUG
Molecule: ribosomal RNA, 550 nt
Filed under: uncultured bacterium
Lineage: Bacteria
Description: bacterial SSU rRNA
Rfam family: Bacterial small subunit ribosomal RNA
Source: RNAcentral